This 410-nucleotide ribosomal RNA is filed under the name uncultured bacterium. RNAcentral's name for it is "bacterial SSU rRNA". It matches the Rfam family "Bacterial small subunit ribosomal RNA", at positions 402 to 809 of the family's 1533-position model. The record is from RNAcentral.
UGCAGGAUGACGGUCCUAUGGAUUGUAAACUGCUUUUGUACGGGAAGAAACACUCCUUCGUGAAGGAGCUUGACGGUACCGUAAGAAUAAGGAUCGGCUAACUCCGUGCCAGCAGCCGCGGUAAUACGGAGGAUCCAAGCGUUAUCCGGAAUCGUUGGGUUUAAAGGGUCCGUAGGCGGUCUUGUAAGUCAGUGGUGAAAGCCCAUCGCUCAACGGUGGAACGGCCAUUGAUACUGCAGGACUUGAAUUAUUGGGAAGUAACUAGAAUAUGUAGUGUAGCGGUGAAAUGCUUAGAGAUUACAUGGAAUACCAAUUGCGAAGGCAGGUUACUACCAAUUGAUUGACGCUGAUGGACGAAAGCGUGGGUAGCGAACAGGAUUAGAUACCCUGGUAGUCCACGCCGUAAACGA